GGGUUGUGAGGUUAAGCGACUAAGCGUACACGGUGGAUGCCCUGGCAGUCAGAGGCGAUGAAGGACGUGCUAAUCUGCGAUAAGCGUCGGUAAGGUGAUAUGAACCGUUAUAACCGGCGAUUUCCGAAUGGGGAAACCCAGUGUGNNCACAUAUUGUGAGCUCGAUGAGUAGGGCGGGACACGUGGUAUCCUGUCUGAAUAUGGGGGGACCAUCCUCCAAGGCUAAAUACUCCUGACUGACCGAUAGUGAACCAGUACCGUGAGGGAAAGGCGAAAAGAACCCCGGCGAGGGGAGUGAAAAAGAACCUGAAACCGUGUACGUACAAGCAGUGGGAGCACGCUUAGGCGUGUGACUGCGUACCUUUUGUAUAAUGGGUCAGCGACUUAUAUUCUGUAGCAAGGUUAACCGAAUAGGGGAGCCGAAGGGAAACCGAGUCUUAACUGGGCGUUAAGUUGCAGGGUAUAGACCCGAAACCCGGUGAUCUAGCCAUGGGCAGGUUGAAGGUUGGGUAACACUAACUGGAGGACCGAACCGACUAAUGUUGAAAAAUUAGCGGAUGACUUGUGGCUGGGGGUGAAAGGCCAAUCAAACCGGGAGAUAGCUGGUUCUCCCCGAAAGCUAUUUAGGUAGCGCCUCGUGAAUUCAUCUCCGGGGGUAGAGCACUGUUUCGGCAAGGGGGUCAUCCCGACUUACCAACCCGAUGCAAACUGCGAAUACCGGAGAAUGUUAUCACGGGAGACACACGGCGGGUGCUAACGUCCGUCGUGAAGAGGGAAACAACCCAGACCGCCAGCUAAGGUCCCAAAGUCAUGGUUAAGUGGGAAACGAUGUGGGAAGGCCCAGACAGCCAGGAUGUUGGCUUAGAAGCAGCCAUCAUUUAAAGAAAGCGUAAUAGCUCACUGGUCGAGUCGGCCUGCGCGGAAGAUGUAACGGGGCUAAACCAUGCACCGAAGCUGCGGCAGCGACGCUUAUGCGUUGUUGGGUAGGGGAGCGUUCUGUAAGCCUGCGAAGGUGUGCUGUGAGGCAUGCUGGAGGUAUCAGAAGUGCGAAUGCUGACAUAAGUAACGAUAAAGCGGGUGAAAAGCCCGCUCGCCGGAAGACCAAGGGUUCCUGUCCAACGUUAAUCGGGGCAGGGUGAGUCGACCCCUAAGGCGAGGCCGAAAGGCGUAGUCGAUGGGAAACAGGUUAAUAUUCCUGUACUUGGUGUUACUGCGAAGGGGGGACGGAGAAGGCUAUGUUGGCCGGGCGACGGUUGUCCCGGUUUAAGCGUGUAGGCUGGUUUUCCAGGCAAAUCCGGAAAAUCAAGGCUGAGGCGUGAUGACGAGGCACUACGGUGCUGAAGCAACAAAUGCCCUGCUUCCAGGAAAAGCCUCUAAGCAUCAGGUAACAUCAAAUCGUACCCCAAACCGACACAGGUGGUCAGGUAGAGAAUACCAAGGCGCUUGAGAGAACUCGGGUGAAGGAACUAGGCAAAAUGGUGCCGUAACUUCGGGAGAAGGCACGCUGAUAUGUAGGUGAAGUCCCUUGCGGAUGGAGCUGAAAUCAGUCGAAGAUACCAGCUGGCUGCAACUGUUUAUUAAAAACACAGCACUGUGCAAACACGAAAGUGGACGUAUACGGUGUGACGCCUGCCCGGUGCCGGAAGGUUAAUUGAUGGGGUCAGCGCAAGCGAAGCUCUUGAUCGAAGCCCCGGUAAACGGCGGCCGUAACUAUAACGGUCCUAAGGUAGCGAAAUUCCUUGUCGGGUAAGUUCCGACCUGCACGAAUGGCGUAAUGAUGGCCAGGCUGUCUCCACCCGAGACUCAGUGAAAUUGAACUCGCUGUGAAGAUGCAGUGUACCCGCGGCAAGACGGAAAGACCCCGUGAACCUUUACUAUAGCUUGACACUGAACAUUGAGCCUUGAUGUGUAGGAUAGGUGGGAGGCUUUGAAGUGUGGACGCCAGUCUGCAUGGAGCCGGCCUUGAAAUACCACCCUUUAAUGUUUGAUGUUCUAACGUGGACCCGUGAUCCGGGUUGCGGACAGUGUCUGGUGGGUAGUUUGACUGGGGCGGUCUCCUCCUAAAGAGUAACGGAGGAGCACGAAGGUUGGCUAAUCCUGGUCGGACAUCAGGAGGUUAGUGCAAUGGCAUAAGCCAGCUUGACUGCGAGCGUGACGGCGCGAGCAGGUGCGAAAGCAGGUCAUAGUGAUCCGGUGGUUCUGAAUGGAAGGGCCAUCGCUCAACGGAUAAAAGGUACUCCGGGGAUAACAGGCUGAUACCGCCCAAGAGUUCAUAUCGACGGCGGUGUUUGGCACCUCGAUGUCGGCUCAUCACAUCCUGGGGCUGAAGUAGGUCCCAAGGGUAUGGCUGUUCGCCAUUUAAAGUGGUACGCGAGCUGGGUUUAGAACGUCGUGAGACAGUUCGGUCCCUAUCUGCCGUGGGCGCUGGAGAACUGAGGGGGGCUGCUCCUAGUACGAGAGGACCGGAGUGGACGCAUCACUGGUGUUCGGGUUGUCAUGCCAAUGGCACUGCCCGGUAGCUAAAUGCGGAAGAGAUAAGUGCUGAAAGCAUCUAAGCACGAAACUUGCCCCGAGAUGAGUUCUCCCUGACCCUUUAAGGGUCCUGAAGGAACGUUGAAGACGACGACGUUGAUAGGCCGGGUGUGUAAGCGCAGCGAUGCGUUGAGCUAACCGGUACUAAUGAACCGUGAGGCUUAACCUUACAAC
This 2706-nucleotide ribosomal RNA is filed under the name Shigella sonnei. RNAcentral's name for it is "bacterial LSU rRNA". It matches the Rfam family "Bacterial large subunit ribosomal RNA". The record is from RNAcentral. Lineage: Bacteria; Pseudomonadati; Pseudomonadota; Gammaproteobacteria; Enterobacterales; Enterobacteriaceae.